CCCCUUGUUCAGUCUGGAAGGUCUCUUUGCCUCUCUUGGCCCCUAUUCACCUGCUCCUUCUCUGCCCAGCUUCCUCCAGCCCUCCAGUCCCUGGACACUCCAGCAUGGUCGUGCCUUCCCACAGCAAUUGCUGGCCACCUGGAAUUCCAGAGCACAGAUCUGGAAACUGACUGACUGGUUCUAUCUCAGUUUUCCCACUUAUCAGCUGUGCGGCCUCAGUCCCUCCCCGCAAGUCGUGGUCCCUGUCUGGUUACCUCUGAACCGCCAGUGCCUCACAGGCGAAAUGCUCAGAAGACAUCUGGAACAUUAAUGUGUGAACUGCCUAAGGAAGACAGGACAAGCAUCCCCAUUAUAUAGAAGAAGAAAUAGAAGCCCAGGAGAGUUUGUGGACUGACUUGAAUCAGUGGCUGCGUUAAGGGGGAAAUUCAGGAAACCCAUUCGGGGCCUCCCUAACUCUCAGAUUCAGCAGGGCUGCCACAGACAGCUGUGAAGUGUGUACACUGCACAAAGGUGCCCGGCCUGCGGGUGGAUGAGGAGGCUGACAUACAGCUCCCACUCCACUCGCCAAGAGUGCCCUGAUGUGGACAGGGCUGCAUGUGCUAGAGGAAGAAGAGCUUUUCUUCUAAUUUACGCAAAAACGCCAUAGAGGCAAGCAAAAGCCAGAAGCUUCCAGAAUUUCCUAUUUCUCAUCUCUUCCUCUUCACAAAAGCUGCCAGUCAACAAGCACCUACUAUGUGCCAGCCUUCAAGCUUAGUGCUUUUCUUUCAUGAUCCCCAGGACAAUUCUCUGACUCAGACUCCUGGAUAAAAACCACUCCUUCUGCUUCUUUUCUUGACACUGGUUACUGCAAAACCAAACAAGACCCAGAGCACACUCCACAUGAGUCAGAUCCUGUUGGGACAAAGGUCUCGCUCAGCUGACCCCAGGAUGAACGGCCUGGCUCAUCCAGAAGAACACCAGUAGGGGUUAGUCUAGACACAUUUUCUGGACAUUCUCAGGUCUUUGAACCUUUGUCCCAUCUGGGGCAAUUUUUGAGUACCUGAGGGGUACUGAACAAACCCACCUCGCUCUCCCUCCAAGGUUCCACAGCAGGCUUAGCACUUGGAGAAAGGCAGCAGGCAGGGUGUUUAGACACCAUGGGGCUUUGGGGCAGCAAGGUGAGGAAGAUAGUUUGGUGCUCAAGCCUUUGAGAGCAACGGUCAGCGAGCUUCUGUGAAGGGUCACAGAGUAAACAUUUCAGGCUGGUCUCUGUCACAGCUACUCAGCUCUUCCCCGGUCGUGCACAGACAACCAGAGACUUAUCUAAAUGAAUGAGUGUGACUGUGUUCCGAUAAAACUUUAUGUAUGCACACUGAAAUUUGAAUUUUAUGUGAUUUCCACAUGUAUUAACAUUUUUAUACUUUUUUUGAUUUUUAUUUUCCAACCAUGUAAAUACCAUUCUAGUCCUUGGGUUGCACAAAAGCUGACUGAUAGCAGAAUAUGGCCUGCAGGGCCAUGGUGUGCUGGCCCCAGGUCGAGAGCAAAGGAUGGUCAUCAGUCUUGGAUUCAAGUCUUGGUUAUUUCAUUAACCGAGGGUGGCAUUUGGGGAAAGUUGCUAAGCCUGUUUCCUCUCUGUCAAAUAGGGGUGGCAGUGUCUGUCAUUCAGGGGGUAAGUGAGAUUAAAUGCAAAAGCACUUCCUAACUUCAGUGAUUGGUAUGCAGUAGGCACUCCCUAACGUGAGCAAUGCACACUGCAGCAGGCUGUUUGGAGGUCAGUGGGGGAGGGGGCUGGAGAGGCCAGGGACCCUUUCUGGAGAAGGUCUGGGGUAAGCUGGGCCUUGAUUGAUGUGAGAGGUCUGGCCAAGGAAACUGGGCUCAAUUCUAGGGUCUGGAAUGGCCACUGAAGGUUCUGAAAAAGAGACCCUUCAAAGUGGGGCAUAAGAAGGUCCAUCUGCAAGGACUGCCUGGAGGGAGGGACA
Molecule: long non-coding RNA, 1958 nt
Organism: Pteropus alecto (black flying fox)
Lineage: Eukaryota; Metazoa; Chordata; Mammalia; Chiroptera; Pteropodidae
Exons: 3
Source: RefSeq, a predicted model, not a curated record